GGGUCAGUAGGUUGGUCGUGCCACCGGUACGUACUGGUCUCACUGAUUCCUCCUUCCUGAAGAACCGUAAUGCCAUUAAUUUGGUGUUGCGGGGAAACAGGACUGUUACUUUGAAAAAAUUAGAGUGUUUAAAGCAAGCUAAAGCUUGAAUACAUUAGCAUGGAAUAAUGAAAUAGGACGAUCGAUCCUAUUUUGUUGGUUUCUAGGAUUGACGUA
Molecule: ribosomal RNA, 216 nt
Filed under: Glomeromycotina sp.
Lineage: Eukaryota; Fungi; Glomeromycota
Description: partial small subunit ribosomal RNA
Rfam family: Eukaryotic small subunit ribosomal RNA (bases 40-216)
Source: RNAcentral